RNAcentral lists this unclassified non-coding RNA (281 nucleotides) under air metagenome. Its description in RNAcentral is "partial contains small subunit ribosomal RNA, internal transcribed spacer 1, and 5.8S ribosomal RNA". The stretch from base 1 to 46 matches the Rfam family "Eukaryotic small subunit ribosomal RNA", at positions 1786 to 1831 of the family's 1831-position model. The record is from RNAcentral.
AAGUCGUAACAAGGUUUCCGUAGGUGAACCUGCGGAAGGAUCAUUAACGUAUCUCCGACGGCGAGGGCGCGCCCCGCUCCGGGUCCGAAAAACGGCCCGUGCAGCGGGCGGCCCGAACCACUCGACCCCUUUGCAAACCCCACCGUGCACUUUUGUCGGCAGAAGGGGCGCCCAGCGCGUUCCCGAGCCGUACCCACAAACCCCGAGUUUAAAAAGAAUGAUCAGCGGACGUUGCGCCGCCUAAACUUUAACAACUUUCAACAACGGAUCUCUUGGCUCUC